CGCGCCUGCGGCGGGUCCGGCAGGGAUGUUUCCUAUGGCUUCGCAGGCAGCCCGUCCCUGUACGAUCUGGUACAUCCCAGAAUUUUCUGGGAUUUAAGGUUUUCU
RNAcentral lists this small RNA (105 nucleotides) under bovine gut metagenome. Its description in RNAcentral is "RT-5 RNA". It matches the Rfam family "RT-5 RNA". Rfam says of the family: Clostridium (Firmicutes). Environment (Cow rumen (57)) The record is from RNAcentral.